AUUGAACGCUGGCGGCAUGCCUUACACAUGCAAGUCGAACGGCAGCACGGGUGCAAAGGGUAACCAAUGCGCCUGGUGGCGAGUGGCGAACGGGUGUGUAAAAUAUCGGAACGUACCCAGUAGAGGGGGAUAACUCGCUGAAAGGUGAGCUAAUACCGCAUACGCCCUGAGGGGGAAAGUGGGGGAUCGCAAGACCUCACGUUAUUGGAGCGGCCGAUAGCUGAUUAGCUAGUUGGAGGGGUAAAGGCCCACCAAGGCGACGAUCAGUAGCUGGUCUGAGAGGACGGCCAGCCACACUGGAACUGAGAGACGGACCAGACUCCUACGGGAGGCAGCAGUGGGGAAUUUUGGACAAUGGGGGCAACCCUGAUCCAGCCAUGCCGCGUGAGUGAAGAAGGCCU
Molecule: ribosomal RNA, 401 nt
Filed under: uncultured bacterium
Lineage: Bacteria
Description: bacterial SSU rRNA
Rfam family: Bacterial small subunit ribosomal RNA
Source: RNAcentral